RNAcentral lists this ribosomal RNA (497 nucleotides) under uncultured bacterium. RNAcentral's name for it is "partial 16S ribosomal RNA". It matches the Rfam family "Bacterial small subunit ribosomal RNA", at positions 28 to 507 of the family's 1533-position model. The record is from RNAcentral.
GAUGAACGCUGGCGUCGUGCCUAAUACAUGCAAGUCGAGCGAACAGACGAGGAGCUUGCUCCUCUGACGUUAGCGGCGGACGGGUGAGUAACACGUGGAUAACCUACCUAUAAGACUGGGAUAACUUCGGGAAACCGGAGCUAAUACCGGAUAAUAUAUUGAACCGCAUGGUUCAAUAGUGAAAGACGGUUUUGCUGUCACUUAUAGAUGGAUCCGCGCCGCAUUAGCUAGUUGGUAAGGUAACGGCUUACCAAGGCAACGAUGCGUAGCCGACCUGAGAGGGUGAUCGGCCACACUGGAACUGAGACACGGUCCAGACUCCUACGGGAGGCAGCAGUAGGGAAUCUUCCGCAAAGGGCGAAAGCUUGACGGAGCAACGCCGCGUGAGUGAUGAAGGUCUUCGGAUCGUAAAACUCUGUUAUUAGGGAAGAACAAAUGUGUAAGUAACUAUGCACGUCUUGACGGUACCUAAUCAGAAAGCCACGGCUAACUACGUG